This 425-nucleotide ribosomal RNA is filed under the name uncultured bacterium. RNAcentral's name for it is "bacterial SSU rRNA". It matches the Rfam family "Bacterial small subunit ribosomal RNA", at positions 355 to 796 of the family's 1533-position model. The record is from RNAcentral.
UAACGAAUCUUCCGCAAUGCGCGAAAGCGUGACGGAGCAAUGCCGCGUGCAGGAUGAAGCCCCUCGGGGUGUAAACUGCUGUCAGGGUUUAGGAAGCACGUGACCAAACCCAAAGGAAGAGACGACUAACUCUGUGCCAGCAGUCGCGGUAAUACAGAGGUCUCGAGCGUUAGUCGGAAUCACUGGGCUUAAAGCGUACGUAGGCGGAUUUGCAGGCGUCGUGUGAAAUACCUCAGCUCAACUGAGGAACUGCACGGCGAACCGCAAGUCUUGAGACAAGUAGGGGCGGUCGGAACGAUAGGUGGAGUGGUGAAAUGCGUUGAUAUCUAUCGGAAUGCCGAAGGUGAAAACAGGCCGCUGGGCUUGCUCUGACGCUGAGGUACGAAAGCGUGGGUAGCGAACGGGAUUAGAUACCCGCGUAGUCC